Molecule: unclassified non-coding RNA, 499 nt
Filed under: uncultured Paraglomus
Lineage: Eukaryota; Fungi; Glomeromycota; Glomeromycetes; Paraglomerales; Paraglomeraceae
Description: SSU rRNA
Rfam family: Eukaryotic small subunit ribosomal RNA
Source: RNAcentral
CCAAUAGCGUAUAUUAAAGUUGUUGUGGUUAAAAAGCUCGUAGUUGAACCUUGGGCCUGGCUGGCCGGUCCGCCUCACCGCGUGUACUGGUCCGGCCGGGCCUUUCCCUCUGUGGAACCUCAUGCCCUUCACUGGGUGUGACGGGGAAGCAGGACUUUUACUGUGAAAAAAUUAGAGUGCUCCAAGCAGGCCUAUGCUCGAAUACAUUAGCAUGGAAUAAUAAAAUAGGACGUGCGGUUCUUUUUUGUUGGUUUCUAGGACCGCCGUAAUGAUUAAUAGGGACAGGCGGGGGCAUCAGUAUUCAAUUGUCAGAGGUGAAAUUCUUGGAUUUAUUGAAGACUAACUACUGCGAAAGCAUUUGCCAAGGAUGUUUUCAUUAAUCAGGAACGAAAGUUAGGGGAUCGAAGACGAUCAGAUACCGUCGUAGUCUUAACCAUAAACUAUGCCGACUAGGAAUCAGACGAUGUUAAUUUUUUAAUGACUCGUUUGGCACCUUACG